RNAcentral lists this non-coding RNA (17 nucleotides) under Mus musculus (house mouse). Lineage: Eukaryota; Metazoa; Chordata; Mammalia; Rodentia; Muridae. The record is from RNAcentral.
UAUCAGGGUCCUUUCAG